AUAGAUCUGGCGCGCGGCGUGGUUGCCUUCUGUAUAUAUAGUUUCUGCAUAAUUCUGUUUUCUGGUUGGAAAAUUCUGCAAAAUUGAUCUACAUUCUGGGUUUUGGAACUUCAAGAUCGCGAUUCAAGACUCCAGAGGAUAGCUCCAAGCACAUCGAGAGCAUGGAUUCACAAGCCAUGGCGGUGAAGCGAGGAAGCGAACGAAGCACGAUGAGGAGCUAAGCUCCUUUGGAGGUAGAAUCUAGGUAGUUUAGGAUGUAGUUCAGCUGAAUGUAAUCUGCAAAUGUUGUAAGAAUUUACUCUCUCUAUAGUGUUCAUCCAAUGCAACUCUGUUUUUAAUGCUUUAUAAUCCUUCAUUAGUGUUAUAAUGAUUUCGAGUUAAGUCACGUGCGAGAGUAUUGAUUUAAUUUCUGAACUGAAUUGCAUUGAGCACUCGAGUGUCUCCGGUCG
RNAcentral lists this long non-coding RNA (449 nucleotides) under Trifolium pratense (red clover). RNAcentral's name for it is "long non-coding RNA (TPRA_LNC012170)". Lineage: Eukaryota; Viridiplantae; Streptophyta; Magnoliopsida; Fabales; Fabaceae. The record is from RNAcentral.